RNAcentral lists this ribosomal RNA (460 nucleotides) under uncultured bacterium. Its description in RNAcentral is "partial 16S ribosomal RNA". It matches the Rfam family "Bacterial small subunit ribosomal RNA", at positions 338 to 795 of the family's 1533-position model. The record is from RNAcentral.
CCUACGGGAGGCAGCAGUGAGGAAUAUUGGUCAAUGGGCGCAAGCCUGAACCAGCCAAGUCGCGUGAGGGAUGACGGUCCUAUGGAUUGUAAACCUCUUUUGUCGGGGAGCAAGGCCCGCCACGUGUGGCGGGAAGGAGAGUACCCGAAGAAAAAGCAUCGGCUAACUCCGUGCCAGCAGCCGCGGUAAUACGGAGGAUGCGAGCGUUAUCCGGAUUUAUUUGGUUUAAAGGGUGCGUAGGCGGAAGGUUAAGUCAGCGGUCAAAUGUCGGUGCUCAACACCGGCCUGCCGUUGAAACUGGUCUGCUUGAGUGAGCGAGAAGUAUGCGGAAUGCGUGGUGUAUCGGUGAAAUGCAGAGAUAUCACGCAGAACUCCGAUUGCGAAGGCAGCAUACCGGCGCUCAACGGACGCUGAGGCACGAAAGCGUGGGGAUCGAACAGGAUUAGAUACCCUUGUAGUC